This 253-nucleotide ribosomal RNA is filed under the name uncultured bacterium. Its description in RNAcentral is "partial 16S ribosomal RNA". It matches the Rfam family "Bacterial small subunit ribosomal RNA", at positions 524 to 776 of the family's 1533-position model. The record is from RNAcentral.
UACGUAGGGUGCGAGCGUUAAUCGGAAUUACUGGGCGUAAAGCGUGCGCAGGCGGUUCGUUGUGUCGGCGGUGAAAGCCCCGGGCUUAACCUGGGAAUGGCCGUCGAAACUGGCGAACUGGAGUGUGGCAGAGGGGGAUGGAAUUCCGCGUGUAGCAGUGAAAUGCGUAGAUAUGCGGAGGAACACCGAUGGCGAAGGCAAUCCCCUGGGCCUGCACUGACGCUCAUGCACGAAAGCGUGGGGAGCAAACAGG